UAGCGUUGCAGCUCUUUUAGAAUUUGCUAGCAGGCUUUCCUGCUUCUUAUCAGAAACCUAC
This 61-nucleotide small nuclear RNA is filed under the name Carlito syrichta (Philippine tarsier). RNAcentral's name for it is "U7 small nuclear RNA (ENSTSYG00000024880.2)". It matches the Rfam family "U7 small nuclear RNA". Rfam says of the family: Animal histone pre-mRNAs are spliced by a different mechanism than nuclear pre-mRNAs and self-splicing introns. This processing involves the U7 snRNP, which contains only one RNA species: U7. The record is from Rfam by way of RNAcentral. Lineage: Eukaryota; Metazoa; Chordata; Mammalia; Primates; Tarsiidae.